UACGGAGGAUGCAAGCGUUAUCCGGAAUCAUUGGGCGUAAAGCGUCCGCAGGUGGUUGAGCAAGUCGGCUGUCAAAGGUCACAGCUUAACUGUGAACAGGCGGUGGAAACUGCUAAACUAGAGUGCGGUAGGGGUAGAGGGAAUUCCCGGUGUAGCGGUGAAAUGCGUAGAGAUCGGGAAGAACACCAGUGGCGAAAGCGCUCUACUGGGCCUGCACUGACACUGAGGGACGAAAGCUAGGGGAG
RNAcentral lists this ribosomal RNA (245 nucleotides) under uncultured bacterium. RNAcentral's name for it is "partial 16S ribosomal RNA". It matches the Rfam family "Bacterial small subunit ribosomal RNA", at positions 524 to 768 of the family's 1533-position model. The record is from RNAcentral.